Molecule: ribosomal RNA, 278 nt
Filed under: uncultured bacterium
Lineage: Bacteria
Description: partial 16S ribosomal RNA
Rfam family: Bacterial small subunit ribosomal RNA
Source: RNAcentral
AGCGAACGCUGGCGGCAGGCCUAACACAUGCAAGUCGAACGGACCCUUCGGGGUUAGUGGCGGACGGGUGAGUAACACGUGGGAACGUGCCCUUUGGUACGAAACAACUCAGGGAAACUUGAGCUAAUACCGUAUGUGCCCUUCGGGGGAAAGAUUUAUCGCCAUUGGAGCGGCCCGCGUCUGAUUAGCUAGUUGGUGAGGUAAAGGCUCACCAAGGCUACGAUCAGUAGCUGGUCUGAGAGGAUGAUCAGCCACACUGGGACUGAGGCACGGCCCAG